UGGGGAAUAUUGCACAAUGGGCGAAAGCCUGAUGCAGCAACGCCGCGUGAGUGAUGAAGGCCUUCGGGUUGUAAAGCUCUGUCUUCUGGGACGAUAAUGACGGUACCAGAGGAGGAAGCCACGGCUAACUACGUGCCAGCAGCCGCGGUAAUACGUAGGUGGCAAGCGUUGUCCGGAUUUACUGGGCGUAAAGGAUGCGUAGGCGGAUACUUAAGUCAGAUGUGAAAAUCCCGGGCUUAACUUGGGAACUGCAUUUGAAACUGGGUAUCUAGAGUGCGGGAGAGGAAAGUGGAAUUCCUAGUGUGGCGGUGAAAUGCGUAGAGAUUAGGAAGAACACCAGUGGCGAAGGCGACUUUCUGGACCGUAACUGACGCUGAGGCAUGAAAGCGUGGGGAGCAAACA
Molecule: ribosomal RNA, 402 nt
Filed under: uncultured bacterium
Lineage: Bacteria
Description: bacterial SSU rRNA
Rfam family: Bacterial small subunit ribosomal RNA
Source: RNAcentral